GAUAAACGCUGGCGGCGUGCCUUAUGCAUGCAAGUCGCGCGACGAAACCGGCUUCGGCCGGCGGAAAGCGGCGAACGGGUGAGUAACACGUAGGAACCUGCCCGGAAGUGGGGGAUAACCUCCGGAAACGGAGGCUAAUACCGCAUACGGUCCACGGACCAAAGCCUUCGGGCGCUUUCGGAGGGGCCUGCGGCGGAUUAGCUGGUUGGUGGGGUAACGGCCUACCAAGGCGACGAUCCAUAGCUGGCCUGAGAGGGUGGUCAGCCACACUGGGACUGAGACACGGCCCA
RNAcentral lists this ribosomal RNA (290 nucleotides) under bacterium. RNAcentral's name for it is "partial 16S rRNA". It matches the Rfam family "Bacterial small subunit ribosomal RNA", at positions 28 to 333 of the family's 1533-position model. The record is from RNAcentral.